CAUUCAGGAAAGGAACGCAGCCUCCUACCGCUCUGGCGGUGAAUUGCACCGCGCCGAAAUGGAGUGACGGAGGACACUGGUGUGUUCCGAAGAGGAGGAGACUGUCAUGAAUCUGUGUUCCCAGUGUGUCUCCCCUCCCCUGUGUCUGUGUCUCCCUCUCUCCUAGGGGCGGGUCCAGCGAGCCAGUAGGUGUGCAGGCUACGCACCUGUUCCUCAUUCUCAUCAGUCUCAGUUAAAGCCCGGUCUCUCCAGCCACUCGUCGUCAGAUCGUCCAGUUUCCCACGCGGAACCCUCCUCGCUCACCUGCAUUCUGCCUGUGCCUGCUGCCGUCCUUCACCGUGCCUCUCCGUUGUGCCCCACCACCUCGUCUCUCCACCCUGCCUUCGCCCUGCCUCACUGCACUGCCUCGCCAUCCAGCCACAACAUUCAAUUAAAGCACCUUUAACUGA
Non-coding RNA from Epinephelus lanceolatus (giant grouper), 449 nucleotides. Lineage: Eukaryota; Metazoa; Chordata; Actinopteri; Perciformes; Serranidae. The record is from RefSeq and is a predicted model, not a curated record.